Schistosoma mansoni is the source of this 71-nucleotide non-coding RNA. The record is from Rfam. Lineage: Eukaryota; Metazoa; Platyhelminthes; Trematoda; Strigeidida; Schistosomatidae.
GGCCUCGUAGUGUAGGGUGAGCACUUCGGACUCUGAAUCCGGCGACCCAAGUUCGAAUCUUGGCGAGGCCU